GCACCAGCUUCGCAAUCGGCAUCAUUGCUAAGGCCACGGAAUUGCGAAAACCUUGGCGACUGAAAUGGGAGAUGUCGGAUAAGGGGCUGAAAAAGUGGUCCGGAGACGGCAAAAAUCGUGUUCCUCUCUUUUUGCGUUCAUCUAUACCGCCAUCACAGUCGACAACGGUAGUUAUGAAAUUCAUGCUGGUCGGUUUGUAGAAGAACAAAAAUGGUAGCAGAAGAGAUGUGUUUCUUCAACAAGUUUUGAAGAAGCUGG
Non-coding RNA from Arachis ipaensis, 258 nucleotides. The record is from RefSeq and is a predicted model, not a curated record. NCBI's taxonomy places the organism in Eukaryota, Viridiplantae, Streptophyta, Magnoliopsida, Fabales, Fabaceae.